RNAcentral lists this ribosomal RNA (253 nucleotides) under uncultured bacterium. Its description in RNAcentral is "partial 16S ribosomal RNA". It matches the Rfam family "Bacterial small subunit ribosomal RNA", at positions 524 to 776 of the family's 1533-position model. The record is from RNAcentral.
UACGGAGGGUGCAAACGUUGCUCGGAAUCAUUGGGCGUAAAGCGCACGUAGGCGGUCCAGCAAGUCGGGGGUGAAAGCCCUCGGCUUAACCGAGGAAGUGCAUUCGAAACUACUGGACUUGAGUACUGAAGAGGAUCGCGGAAUUCCCGGUGUAGAGGUGAAAUUCGUAGAUAUCGGGAGGAACACCAGUGGCGAAGGCGGCGAUCUGGGCAGAUACUGACGCUGAGGUGCGAAAGCGUGGGGAGCAAACAGG